GCCUCGGUGGUGGAAUUGGUAGACACGCUAGACUCAAAAUCUUGUGAGAGCAAUCUCGUGCCGGUUCAAGUCCGGCCCGAGGCACCA
Molecule: transfer RNA, 87 nt
Filed under: Candidatus Saccharimonadota bacterium
Lineage: Bacteria; Candidatus Saccharimonadota
Description: Candidatus Saccharibacteria bacterium tRNA-Leu
Rfam family: tRNA
About the family: Transfer RNA (tRNA) molecules are approximately 80 nucleotides in length. Their secondary structure includes four short double-helical elements and three loops (D, anti-codon, and T loops).
Source: RNAcentral